RNAcentral lists this unclassified non-coding RNA (158 nucleotides) under uncultured Mortierellaceae. RNAcentral's name for it is "sequence contains ITS1". The record is from RNAcentral. Lineage: Eukaryota; Fungi; Mortierellomycota; Mortierellomycetes; Mortierellales; Mortierellaceae.
CAAUAAGUGUUUUAUGGCACUUUUUCAAUCCAUAUCCACCUUGUGUGCAAUGUUGUCUUGUAACGCGAAUGCUUGUCAUUUGCGCUACAGGAUGUAAACAUCAACUUAUCCUUGAACUCUUUGUCUGAAAAAUAUUAUGAAUAAAAUAAUUCAAAAUA